AAACCCUCACAUAGCCGAAAUCAGAAACCCUAGCUUUCACCAAAUCCAAAAACCGGAAGAGAGAAAAGGGCGGUGGUGGAGGAGAAGACGAAAGCAAAAGAGUUUUGUAAUUCACCAUGGCGGAGCACUUGGCUUCCAUAUUCGGUACUGAGAAAGAUAGGGUGAAUUGCCCUUUCUACUUUAAGAUCGGUGCGUGUCGGCAUGGUGACCGCUGCUCUAGGCUUCACACCAAGCCUAGCAUCAGCCCUACCUUAGUGCUGUCUAAUAUGUACCAGCGCCCUGAUAUGAUUACCCCUGGUGUUGACCCUCAAGGCCAGCCCCUUGACCCUCGCCAGAUCCAGCGCCACUUCGAGGACUUCUAUGAAGAUCUGUUUGAAGAGCUUAGUAAAUAUGGAGAGAUCGAAAACCUUAACAUCUGUGACAAUUUAGCUGACCAUAUGGUUGGUAACGUUUAUGUCCAGUUCAGAGAGGAAGAUCAUGCUGCAAGUGCUCUUCAGAAUCUUACUGGAAGAUUUUACGCAGGACGUCCAAUCAUUGUCGACUUCUCCCCAGUGACUGAUUUUCGGGAAGCCACUUGUAGGCAGUAUGAGGAAAAUGUAUGUAACCGAGGUGGCUAUUGCAACUUCAUGCAUCUGAAAAAGAUAAGCAGGGAGCUGAGAAAGCACUUAUUUAAGAGCAGGCGCAGACGCAGCCACAGUAGAAGCCGAAGCCCACGUGGUCAUCGCAAUUAUGAUGAGCGUCCACCUGGAGGCCGUGGUUUUGGUAGAAGAGGAGGUGGAGGAGGUGAUCACCGCUACAAUGAUAGAGGGAGGAGACCUAGGAGCAGAAGUCCUGGACGAAGGAGUGGACACAGCAGAAGUCCCGGGGGUAGGAGAAAUAGAAGUCCAAUUAGGGAAGGAAGUGAGGAGAGAAGAGCAAAGAUUGAGCAAUGGAACAGGGAAAGGGAAGAGGCAGGAUCUGGGAGGAAUCAUGGCAGUAGUACGCGUAGGGAAGACAGGGACGGCAGUGCUGAGAGGAGGGAAAAGAUAGAGCAAUGGAAUAGGGAAAAAGAAGAGGCAGAAUCUGCUAAAUACAAUAAUUUUGACACUGAUAAUGGCAAGAGUGAUGGUGGUGAUCACUAUGGAGAACAGUUCGAUGAUGGUUACCCAAAGCAGCAGUAGGUAGCAAAUAGAAGUUAUGGCUUCUGCUAGUAGUGUUACUCUGGGUGGAGUACAGGUCCACUGUGCUGGUUUUGAAAAAAGCAUAACCCUUCUAUUGUCUUCUUUUUACCAUGUUUAAAAGGACAGGACUUUGUUUAGGAGGGAUCAUAGAGAGGCCUACUUAGGAACAUUGCCAUUUUCCUGACUCUGAUGCAUCAGUUGCUCGUACAGUGAAGCUUGCAAUGAUCAAAAUCUCAUGCUAAUCUUCCAGUGUCUUUUUUUCCCGUCUCCUGCUGACUACUAUUUUUCUAAUUUAGGUUUUCUCUGCUGCAGACGAGUCCACUGGACUUUUAACAUGCUAGGGAUGGUGAGAAGUGAAGGAAGAGAGUCCAUGGACCUAUGAAGUUCUAGUUUCCGUUUUGGGUUUUUACCAUUUGUUAGGUAUUACAGGUUUUUAUCCUCGAAGACAAUUGUGCUGUGUAUAACUGUACUUGUCUGUCACAUGUUGGAUUGAGUUCGUUUCAGUUUUUGCUUGUGUUAUUUAAGUGGAAUGCAGGUUUCUGUUGAACCGCUUUGUUAAAGAGAGCAGGAUAUUUAUUUGGCAGUUGCUAGCCUGCAGUGUAUACUUCUUUUGCAGAUCCUUUCA
RNA transcript from Nicotiana attenuata, 1785 nucleotides. It is a transcript of the gene named splicing factor U2af small subunit B-like, with no coding region annotated. Lineage: Eukaryota; Viridiplantae; Streptophyta; Magnoliopsida; Solanales; Solanaceae. The transcript has 7 exons. The record is from RefSeq and is a predicted model, not a curated record.